GGGACGUGACCUUUCGCACACUUUAUCUUCCGUGUCGAAUAGGUCAUGUUCCGGUUGCGGUGUCGUUUCCGUUUCGUACAUGCUGCAAGGUGUGAAUUCGGAGCAAACGACGACAGAAACGGCUCUGCUAGUGCUGAAAUAUCGAUCUUACUCGGUUUUUUAACGGGGUUCAUGUGGGAUACAUACAGGAUACUGCAGAGAUACGGAGGGAUACGGCAACAAUCGAGCAGAAGUUAAAAAAUUGUUAGGAUCCACGAGGGAUACGUAGAAAAUACCGUGGGAUACGGCGGGACACUGUGGGAUACUGUGGGUACAACCGUACAAGCAAAAAAAACAUGUCUCGAAAAAUUAAACGUGUACGAAAUGGUCCAUAUCUACGCUAUGAAGAGUGGGUUCUGCUUGAUAUGCUAUGCCAAAAAUGCUCAGUCAAGUACGUAGUAGG
Paramacrobiotus metropolitanus is the source of this 442-nucleotide long non-coding RNA. RefSeq lists it as uncharacterized. The transcript is spliced from 3 exons. The record is from RefSeq and is a predicted model, not a curated record. NCBI's taxonomy places the organism in Eukaryota, Metazoa, Tardigrada, Eutardigrada, Parachela, Macrobiotidae.